CCGUACCACUUGGUUCCGCGUCGCUUCCCGCUCACGCAGUUAACGGCGAGUCCGACCGACCUGGGCGGGAGGCGGGACCCCGAGGGCUUCCUGGCGGAGGCGGGGAUAUGGCUCCUAGGUGAGACGCUCCUAGAGACACACGAAACUGAGCUCCUUGAGCUCUUUGGUCCUCAUGGAGUACAGCACUCUAUAGAGCGUUCUUGCGAGACUAGAAGACCGAAGCCCAGUGAGAUUAGGAAAUUUGCCCACAAUCGUUCAUCUGGAAAAACCUGAGGCUGGGAUUUGAAGUACAUAUGAGGGAACACGGACCAAAAUGGCAAGAAUUGUGUUAACAGGAAGCCAUUGAAGGAUUUGAAAUAAAGUAGCAGGGUCAGAUUUAUGUUUGGCGGCAGCGGAAAACAAACCAAAGAGCAGGAAUAGACUCUGGGAAACUACUGCAGUAGUCUGGGCAAGAUGGAGGUAGCAUGUGCCAGGAUGGUGAUGGAGAUGAAGAGAAAUGACAAAUUUAAGGGAAAUCUGGGAAGCAAGAUCAGCAGAGCUUCUUGAUAGGCUGGCCUUGGAAGGGGAGAAGAGGCGUCAGGGAUGAUCCCCAAGGUUUUGGCAUUUGAAGCUGAAUGGAUGAUGCUGCCAUUCACUGACUUCGGGACCCCAUGGAGGAGCAGGUUUGAAUAUUCUGAGACAAAUUCAAAUGAAUUCCAGGUGAUUGCGUAUGUCUAGAGCUUUGGGAGUUCUCAGCUCACAGCCAUGGCAUCUGUUGUUCACCAUUCUGGGUCCUGGCCUCUAAACUCCUGACCCAUCAACGUGUCUUAAAACAUAGAUCACGGGACACCUGGGUGGCCCAGUCGGUUAAGUGACUACUUUCGGCUCAAGUCACGAUCCCAAGGUCCUGGGAUGGAGCCCCACAUCAGGUUCCCUGUUCAGCAGAAGAGUCUGCUUCUCCCCUUAUCCAGUUGGCUCAUUUGGUGAAUAUCAUCAACCAAGACCCCAGGGUCUUUAUUUCACACGAACUUCCAUCAAGAUAAGUUUGCCUUUUCCACUACUUGCAAGUGAUUUUUUUUUUCCAACCUAUUUAAAACUCUGCUAAUGCUCUUUUGGUGGUUGUGGCUCAUCCUUCCAGACCUCUGAAAUAAUUUAAGCUCUUGAUUCUGGUUCCCACACAAAUAGCUCACACCUAUCGGCUCAUCUGUGCAUCUCAUCAGCCAAAUCCAAAGAUUCUCUGCCUGGGACUUCCAGACCCUUGAAGGGGGGGUCCUAGAAUUAGGGCCCCAAAAAUGUACACCUCUGUUUUUAUUAACCUCUAACAAAUUUAGCAUUUCCUGCAAGUAUGAAUAUAAGCAAAACCCCCGGUAGUAUUAGCAGGACCCAGGACUUGUCAUUGAGACACCACAGCUCUUUUCAUAUCCCACUACUUUUGUAGAAAUCUCGGAGUAUUGAGUACCUUUUAUGCUUAUUACUAUUUGGAGAAUGUUAGUAGUUAUUACACCUCCUGCUAGAUAUUGUUAUUAAAUAUAUUUUAAAAACA
Molecule: long non-coding RNA, 1522 nt
Organism: Lutra lutra (Eurasian river otter)
Lineage: Eukaryota; Metazoa; Chordata; Mammalia; Carnivora; Mustelidae
Exons: 3
Source: RefSeq, a predicted model, not a curated record